Molecule: ribosomal RNA, 253 nt
Filed under: uncultured bacterium
Lineage: Bacteria
Description: partial 16S ribosomal RNA
Rfam family: Bacterial small subunit ribosomal RNA
Source: RNAcentral
CGGACGGGUGAGUAAUGUCUGGGAAACUGCCUGAUGGAGGGGGAUAACUACUGGAAACGGUAGCUAAUACCGCAUAACGUCGCAAGACCAAAGAGGGGGACCUUCGGGCCUCUUGCCAUCGGAUGUGCCCAGAUGGGAUUAGCUAGUAGGUGGGGUAACGGCUCACCUAGGCGACGAUCCCUAGCUGGUCUGAGAGGAUGAUCAGCCACACUGGGACUGAGACACGGCCCAGACUCCUACGGGAGGCAGCAUG